This 406-nucleotide ribosomal RNA is filed under the name uncultured Synechococcaceae cyanobacterium. RNAcentral describes it as "bacterial SSU rRNA". It matches the Rfam family "Bacterial small subunit ribosomal RNA", at positions 355 to 776 of the family's 1533-position model. The record is from RNAcentral. Lineage: Bacteria; Bacillati; Cyanobacteriota; Cyanophyceae; Synechococcales; Synechococcaceae.
UGGGGAAUUUUCCGCAAUGGGCGCAAGCCUGACGGAGCAACGCCGCGUGAGGGAUGAAGGCCUCUGGGCUGUAAACCUCUUUUAUCAAGGAAGAAGAUCUGACGGUACUUGAUGAAUAAGCCACGGCUAAUUCCGUGCCAGCAGCCGCGGUAAUACGGGAGUGGCAAGCGUUAUCCGGAAUUAUUGGGCGUAAAGCGUCCGCAGGCGGUCUUGUAAGUCUGUCGUUAAAGCGUGGAGCUUAACUCCAUUUAAGCGAUGGAAACUGUAAGACUAGAGUGUGGUAGGGGCAGAGGGAAUUCCCGGUGUAGCGGUGAAAUGCGUAGAUAUCGGGAAGAACACCAGUGGCGAAGGCGCUCUGCUGGGCCAUAACUGACGCUCAUGGACGAAAGCCAGGGGAGCGAAAGGG